CAACCAUAUUACAUUGAGACACCAAUUCCUGUAUGAUCACUGAAGUUAAGCAACAUCGAGCUUGGUCAGCACCUUGAUGGUUGACCGCUUGGGAAUAGCAGGUGCUGUAA
Non-coding RNA from Acanthosepion pharaonis, 110 nucleotides. NCBI's taxonomy places the organism in Eukaryota, Metazoa, Mollusca, Cephalopoda, Sepiida, Sepiidae. The record is from the annotation of a GenBank genome assembly.